This 289-nucleotide ribosomal RNA is filed under the name uncultured bacterium. Its description in RNAcentral is "partial 16S ribosomal RNA". It matches the Rfam family "Bacterial small subunit ribosomal RNA", at positions 773 to 1060 of the family's 1533-position model. The record is from RNAcentral.
GUGGAUUAGAUACCCUGGUAGUCCACGCCGUAAACGAUGGAUGCUAGCCGUCAGCAAGCAUGCUUGUUGGUGGCGCAGCUAACGCAUUAAGCAUCCCGCCUGGGGAGUACGGCCGCAAGGUUAAAACUCAAAGGAAUUGACGGGGGCCCGCACAAGCGGUGGAGCAUGUGGUUUAAUUCGACGCAACGCGCAGAACCUUACCAACCCUUGACAUGCCCGGUCGGUUUCCAGAGAUGGAUUCCUCCCAGCAAUGGGCCGGGACACAGGUGCUGCACGGCCGUCGUCAACU